RNAcentral lists this ribosomal RNA (482 nucleotides) under uncultured bacterium. RNAcentral describes it as "partial 16S ribosomal RNA". It matches the Rfam family "Bacterial small subunit ribosomal RNA", at positions 30 to 507 of the family's 1533-position model. The record is from RNAcentral.
AUUGAACGCUGGCGGCAUGCUUUACACAUGCAAGUCGAACGGUAACAGGCCGCAAGGUGCUGACGAGUGGCGAACGGGUGCGUAAUGCAUCGGAACGUGCCCAGUCGUGGGGGAUAACUACUCGAAAGAGUAGCUAAUACCGCAUACGCUCUAUGGAUGAAAGCGGGGGACCGUAAGGCCUCGCGCGAUUGGAGCGGCCGAUGUCAGAUUAGGUAGUUGGUGGGGUAAAGGCUCACCAAGCCAACGAUCUGUAGCUGGUCUGAGAGGACGACCAGCCACACUGGGACUGAGACACGGCCCAGACCCCUACGGGAGGCAGCAGUGGGGAAUUUUGGACAAUGGGCGCAAGCCUGAUCCAGCAAUGCCGCGUGCAGGAAGAAGGCCUUCGGGUUGUAAACUGCUUUUGUACGGAACGAAACGGCUCUGGUUAAUACCCGGGGCUAAUGACGGUACCGUAAGAAUAAGCACCGGCUAACUACGUG